UAAUACGUAGGUGGCAAGCGUUAUCCGGAAUUACUGGGCGUAAAGCGCACGCAGGUGGCAUGUUAAGUCUGACGUGAAAGCUCCUGGCUUAACUGGGAGAGGUCGUUGGAGACUGGCAGGCUUGAGGUAAGGAGAGGGGUGCAGAAUUCCCGGUGUAGUGGUGGAAUGCGUAGAUAUCGGGAGGAAUACCAGUGGCGAAAGCGGCACCCUGGCCUUGGCCUGACGCUCAGGUGCGAAAGCGUGGGGAGCGAACGGGAUUAGAUACCCCGGUAGUCCACGCUGUAAACGAUGAACACUAGGUGUAGGAGGUGUUAAAACCAUCUGCGCCGAAGCCAACGCGAUAAGUGUUCCGCCUGGGGAGUACGACCGCAAGGUUAAAACUUAAAGGAAUUGACGG
This 397-nucleotide ribosomal RNA is filed under the name uncultured bacterium. RNAcentral describes it as "bacterial SSU rRNA". It matches the Rfam family "Bacterial small subunit ribosomal RNA", at positions 521 to 916 of the family's 1533-position model. The record is from RNAcentral.